GACGUUCCAUCAAGACGGGAUGAUAUUAUGACAAUCGCAGAUUCCUCAGUUUUCCCUAAAGUUUUGUUGACAUUGUUGGGUAGAAAACAGAAGUUGCAACUAGAGCCUUAGAGGAUUUGCCAAACCCAGUAACAAUUGUACAAAUGGUCGAAAGCGAUAAAUCCUACAGAACACCGACAUGCAUUACAUUCACAGCUGUAAAAGAUGCAAUAGCAGACCAACUUCUCCCAGCAACCAGUACCUUCAAAGCUACCAAACUGAGAGUCCCAUAAUCACAUUCCUGACAGGAGACUGGGCAGACUUAUUGACCAAUGUCAUGAGUAGAGUCUUGAAGAAAGAGCUUUUUCCUCAGACAUGAUGUCACGAUGCCCAAAUGCAGGUGGAGUGUUUCAUACAGCAGGAGGUGUUGAGACAUCACAGACAUUGCGAGUAUGAUCUGCAGAGGACUGCUCUGGACACCUUUUUUUUUAGAGCAUCUGAAGGGUAAGGAGAACUACAGAGACCUGUGACAAGUAAAUUGUCAAAUUGUCCUUGUGCUCUUCCACGGACAGGCCUCAGUAGAAAGGGGGUUUGCAGUCAACUCCGCUCUCACUGUUGUCAACAAAAAGGAGCAGUGCUACACAGCACAGAGACUGGUGUAUGACACUAGAGAAUUUGGGUAGACUUUUAAUUGUUUUUGUUUUUUUAAGUCAACCUCACCAAUUACAUCCUCCUCCAAGGCAGAAAAAUCAAGGCUACCUAGAUGCACAGCAGAACCACAUGAUGGCAGAGAAAAGAAAAGAGGAAGAACAAAGACCUGAAAGAAAGAGACGCCUGGAAAAGGACAUAGAACUCCUGCAUAAAGAAAUGGAAAAGGUAGUUGCAGAGGCAGACCUCAAAGUCCAGAGAAUGUAUAAUCAAGUUUAGCAGCUUCUGAAGAUUAAAGGUUGAGCUUGGACUGUUGUGAGCACACUCUCUAGUAUAAUUUUAUUAACUUUAUUGACAUGGAUAAAAAAAAGAAUGUAUUCAGAGAGAGAAAGGUCUGAAGGAUCUAUCAGGUGAGCGGUGAAGUUGUUCUUUGCAAUGUCCACACUCUAUUCUCGCCUUCAUCCACCAUUUGCUUUCAAAGUCUUUCAACCAUUAUGACUAUUAGCUAAACAGCUUGUUGCAUAGUCUCAUCCCUCUGAUAUACUGUUCAGACUGCCACCUGUUAUACUUUAUAUACAAUGUCAAGAAUACAUAUGAACAUACUUCUCUCUCUUCCCACCCUCUCUCGCUCCACUUCAAUUAAUUGUAUUGACAUGGACCUUUUUUAGAUUGUUGCAAAUGGUUAAACAUAACAUUUUCGUCUGUAACUAGUGCUGAGCAAUUAGUGCUUUUUGAGGUUGGUUCGGUUUCAGUCAGAUAAUAAAUAGACAUUAAAUGCACUAUGCAUUAUGUGGGUUGAAUGCUGUAACAACACUGAAUAAAACAAUUCCUAAAAGGCCCAUGAUGGUAGUGGCUGCCGAUUUACUGGUUAUCACUUAUUAAUGAUCGUUAUUCACAUGUAAAAAAAA
Molecule: long non-coding RNA, 1535 nt
Organism: Oncorhynchus tshawytscha (Chinook salmon)
Lineage: Eukaryota; Metazoa; Chordata; Actinopteri; Salmoniformes; Salmonidae
Source: Ensembl